AUAACCUACAGUUGACAGAUUCAAGUGAAGAAAGUGAGGUCGGAGCGGAGCGUGAGGAGGUCGGAGCGGAGCGUGAGGAGGUCGGAGCGGAGCGUGAGGAGGUCGGAGCGGAGCGUGAGGAGGUCGGAGCGGAGCGUGAGGAGGUCGGAGCGGAGCGUGAGGUCAAUGAAGGAAAUCUUGUAUAUCCACAGAUUGAUUCUAUAGAUACUAGAAUGAUGAAGAAAGUUGUCAAGGAACCUCCAGCACAAAGUAAAAAUGGAGCGGGUAAGGUCAUUGAACCCAACAGAAUACUAAACAAGGAGAUGAAGCCAAGCAGUAAGAAGAAAACAAAUGAACAAUCUGCUUCUCUGGAAAAUGCAAGGAGGGUCAAAAAGCAUCCUUGGUCUCCCACGGAGGUUGCUGCGAUAAUGAAGUAUUUUGGCGAACAUAUCAAAAAAGGAAAACUGGCCACUAUUAUCGAAUGCCAGCAAUGCAAAACUGCAGAAGAUCCUGCUCUGGCUGGUCGUUCUAUUCAAAACAUCAGAGAUUUUGUGAGGAAUCGGG
Long non-coding RNA from Astatotilapia calliptera (eastern happy), 543 nucleotides. Lineage: Eukaryota; Metazoa; Chordata; Actinopteri; Cichliformes; Cichlidae. The record is from Ensembl.